UCAUUUUCCCUCCCAUAUAAAAUACACAUUACACCCAAACCCUAACCUAAUUUUGAAGCUUCAUCUGCCGACCCUCCCUUUCCCUCAAGACCAAGCUCGCAUCUCUCUUUCUCAAAAAAUACGCCCAGCACCUCACCGUCCAGCAGCUGCCUGGACUCAGCCGCAUCAAGAGACGAGAAAUAAAAGUACUUGAUCAUCUCUCUCAAACACACACGCACAUAGAUAGAGAAACGGAGAGAGGACAGAAAAUUGAGAGGAGAAAAGUUUAUGAAAAAUUAUGGUUUAGUUUUAGUGUUCAUCCUUCACUGAUUUUUAUUGGAAAAGAGAAGUACAAAAAAAAGAAGAAAAAGAACGGACCCUCCCCUCCCAUAGACGAACCCUAGCAGCGACGCCUCACCUCUCCAUCAACUCCGACCAGACCCUCCGAUCCCAUACCCAAAAACCUUGCUGCUUACUCUCACUCUUUCACUCACGUUUUUGAGCACACAUACACACAAAAAAAGCACUUAGCAACAAACGAAAAAAAAAAGAAAAAAAAAUCGAAGUUCUGGUUUUAAAAGAGGCGAUUUAGCCUCAAGCCACUGCUCGGUUCAACUGUUUAUUGCCGGAUUUAUGCUGCUGAGCUCCAACCAGCUGUGUUCUCUUUAUUUGGUUUAAAUUUGGUCCUUGCACCAUUGGGUAUGUCCUCCCUAAACUUGGUACUUUUUCAGAUUUGAUUAAUAUGAAGGUUCAUGUUUUGCUUUACUGAUUAUCUUUUAAUUUAUGUCUUUGGAUUGAUGAAUGUGAGCAUAAUAGUUUAAUAGUUCAAUAAUAUUCUUUUCAAGUCUAUUUGAUGCUACAACAUUUGGCUAAGUUCUGUUGGUUAGGUCUUCAUUCGCUAAAUACAAAUUAUACUUCAUCUUACUCAUGUUUCAUAUUUUAGUUUAAAUAUUUACUUUUAGUUGGGUGAGCACACUGUAUCGAUUUUAGAUUCUGAAAUUUGUUCGAAAGUUUCCUUUUCUAAAGAUUUCAUGAGUUGGGUUAUAUUCUAUUGAUUUGCUUAUGGUAUAGAAAUAUGCUAAUUGUAAUUUUGUGAGGAGCAUUCACUACUCAUGUCUUCGGAUUGCCAAUUUUAAGAUGAGAAUUAAUUAAGUUAGGCCUUGCUAAUACAUUAGGUCAUAUAGCAUGGAUAAGAAGAAUUUUAGUAAAUCUUAGGCAUAAUUUUGAGUUGAAAUUUUGAUUAAGUGGGUUUAAAAUCAUUACUGUUGCUCAUAAAAACUAGAGUGCAUCACUGUCUUCCAUAAUAAUUAUUUAUUCAUAACUCACGUGUCCUCACAAUAAUCUCAAAUUAGUUUAGGAUAACAUCUUUGAACAUUCGUAAUUGCUUUGGGCGUGCUUUAAUCCAUUAUCGUGGUAAUUUUAUACGUUCGCGUGACGUAACUAUGAUCCCAAAAUAAAUCAAAGUACGCGUCUGCGCAACUUUGACCAAAAACAAUCUUAUAUAAUAAAAUGCUAUUAAUUGUGUACACGUACGCAUGACAUGAUUUUGGCAUAAUAAACAAAACGGAUUCACACACGUGAUUCGUUUCAAAGAUAAUUUUAUAUUUUAAUAAUUAAAAACGGAUAGAUAAAACAUGGGAACCAAUAAAACACAUGUUAUCCAAAAUUAAUUCAAGUCAAGUUGCAGUUAAUAAAGCGACUGUGCUAGAACCACGGAACUCGGGGACUGCCUUACACCUUCUCCUCGGUCAACAGAAUUUCUUACCCGGACUUUAUUUUCGCAGACCAAUAAUAAUAGAGUCAAACCUUCAUUUGACUAGGGAUUCAAAUAAAAGGUGACUUGGAACACCCAAAAAUCAAUUUCAAGUGGCGACUCUGUAAAUAAAAUAAUCUCUACUCAAAUUUGUCACUUUGAUUGGAAAAACGCUUUAACCCACAAUCCAUAACACACAUCAUUUGAGGGGGUAAAAAGGAGAGUGACAGCUAUGGCGACUCUGCUGGGGAAUCUCAAGAAUUCGAGCUUGUACAUUGACUUUAUUUGGCUUUAUUAAUUUUUGUAUAUAAUGUGAUUUAUUUGGGCAUAAUGUGCUAUUUGUCCGCUUUUUACCACUUUGAUAUUAUUGAAUUAUACAUAUAAAUUGUCUUCUCUUGCACCUUUCUAAGUCUUCUUGAAUUAAAAUUGGGCAUUUGCUUGACAUAACCCGCUUUCUUUGAGAUAGCCGAGGUGCUUGUCACCCGGUGAAGAAUUUUAGUUACACAUAUUUUAGGCGGGGAGCACCAUCAGCUAAGCUGAAAAGCAAUGCUACCGGUAUCAGACUCAAGAUCAAGUUUCAGAAGACUUAGAGAUAGGAACCUUGUAACUCACAGCUGAUAGGCUUGUUUAGUUUUUUUUCAUUUUAAUUAUGGUGUAAUAAGGAGUUCAGCAAGCAGCAAUAAAAGUGAAAUCACAGUUUCCCGAUAAUCUCAGCUACCACAACUCCUUGAACUACACGCGACCUGAUUCCUUAUAACCCGGGAUAUGUAGGCUGCCCAAACCAGGACUCGGUUGUACUAUUUUCUCUUAUCUCUUCCCUUUUGAAUAACGGUAUGACCAAAAAUUAGUCAUAUCGCUCAUCUUUUCUUUGUAUGAAAACUCUACGUGUUUCCAAGCAAAGAGGCGCAUGUUGUGAGCACUUAAUUUUUGAUCAUGUUUGAAUUUUUCCCACUCAUCUCACCAAUACCUCACUUCUCACUCCACUUUCCCUUGCUCCCCAAUUUUUGUCCCCCCUCCCCUCCCCCACCACUCUUUAUUCCCACUCCACUUUCUAUUGUCCCCCAUGCUUGUCCCCCAUUCACCUCCCUCUCUUACAAAAACACAUCAUCUCCACAAUCCCAGAGGAGAAGAAGAACGGAUCAUCUCUCUUUACAAAAAACCAUAGCCGCCACCCUCUCAUUCUUCACACCCUCCAAUCCGCCUACACUCCUCACACUCGCCUCUCUCAACUCACUCAUAUAGACACACUCUAACACACUUAGCCAUCAUCCUUUACACUCUAAAGAAAAACACAACAUCAGAGAGAAACAAAAUAGUAGCUAAAAUAGCUUUCAGUUUUCCCUUUGUACGUUCCAAAAAUGAAACGAGUCCCCUUUGGUGUUUAGCUUCUAUUUUUUGUCUGUUGGCUCAAGCAUUAUCUGGGUUGUUGGAGUUUUUGAUAUUUGGUGCUGCUGGGGUAUUUGAUUUGAAUUGUUCUGCUGGCUUCUCAUCGUUAUUGCUCUAGCAUUUCAACAUUUAGGUAUUUCUUCUUCUGUUGUAGCUUUUGAAUUGUUUCAUAUGAAUGAAGAAUGUAUGGUUUUUGAGUCUUUAUUUGAAAUUAUUCAACAGUCUUGAUUCAUCCUUGCUUGUCAUAUAUGAACAAUUUGAGCUAUGAUAGUAAAUAUUGAUGACUGAAGCAAGAAGUACGUAUAUAGUUGAGUUCAUACUUGUCAAGUUUUUAGUGUAGUUG
RNAcentral lists this long non-coding RNA (3461 nucleotides) under Nicotiana tabacum (common tobacco). Its description in RNAcentral is "long non-coding RNA (NTAB_LNC014454)". The record is from RNAcentral. Lineage: Eukaryota; Viridiplantae; Streptophyta; Magnoliopsida; Solanales; Solanaceae.